GAUCCUGGCUCAGGAUGAACGCUAGCUACAGGCUUAACACAUGCAAGUCGAGGGGCAGCAUUUUUAUAGCAAUAUAAAAGAUGGCGACCGGCGCACGGGUGAGUAACACGUAUCCAACCUGCCGUCUACUCUUGGACAGCCUUCUGAAAGGAAGAUUAAUACAAGAUGGCAUCAUGAGUCCGCAUGUUCACAUGAUUAAAGGUAUUCCGGUAGACGAUGGGGAUGCGUU
This 229-nucleotide ribosomal RNA is filed under the name uncultured bacterium. RNAcentral describes it as "partial 16S ribosomal RNA". It matches the Rfam family "Bacterial small subunit ribosomal RNA", at positions 15 to 237 of the family's 1533-position model. The record is from RNAcentral.